Molecule: unclassified non-coding RNA, 1228 nt
Filed under: Hevea brasiliensis (rubber tree)
Lineage: Eukaryota; Viridiplantae; Streptophyta; Magnoliopsida; Malpighiales; Euphorbiaceae
Source: RNAcentral
CGGCUAUUAUAGAAGUGAACAUUCUGAUAGAGACAGAAUACAUUAAUCAUAUUGAACAGUAAAGCUAGCAUGAAAGAUGAAUCAAGGGUAAACUAGAUUUUCCAUAAAGUGAAUUACCAAAAGAGAAUGUUAAUUCAAUAAUGUGCCAAAACAAAGUACACCAAGGGGAGAAAAAGAUUAGGAGAACAACGACAAGCUCAUUAGUUUUGGCUUUCCAAUGUUUCUUAAUGCAAAUUUCAACUAUCAUAUAGUUGAUUUUAAAGCAAGCAACAAAAGAAGUGCAAAAAGAAAAACAAGAAUAGCCUUCUAGUGGAUAAGCGCAAGAAAUCGCAACUAUAUGAUGUCAUUUUUGUCCAAACAUGACUUUCUAAAACAAGCUUUCAUACAAUGGGUCGAUCGUAAAAUAAAUAAACUUCUGGUGUUAAAAGAAAUGAAUGCUCCCAAACAUAUUCUCUAGGAGCACUUUGUUUCUCAUUCGCUUCAACUAGAAGCACAGAAUAAUUGUUCAUAGUAAAUGAGUAUAGGCUCAGCUUCUUGAUCUGUUGAAAUGAAAUCUAUUACUCCACUAUACCCAUAAAGCUUCCUAAGAUUAUGAAUGAUUAAUAUGUGGAAAAUGGAAUUAAUAUAGUUGCAAUCCAGUGAUCCACACUCUUCACUGUUUCCAUCGUAAUUAACAACAGUAGUUAGAGGUUUCAGUCCAAACUAAAAAUUCCAAAUCCAACUGACUCAACUAGCAAAAACCUACAACCUUAACUCCCAAAAUGAUGCAGGAAAAAAUUAUAGAGGCAAGAGAGGAAAGAAAGUCAUAAAAAUACUGAAGAACCAUAGCACAGGAAAGUGAACCAUCAUAGGAAAGGGGAUAGAGAAAGGAAAAAGCAAAAAAGGGAGCGGGGUGUAUUUAAACAGGAAAAGAGAAAGAAAGUCCUAAUUGCUUUAGAUAUUGUAUGCCCAACAACUGCAAAAAGCUUAGUACAACAUAAAUCACAUGCUUAACAAAUGAGCUACAACUCUUUAGAAUGACAAUAUUCCAUUUCUUUACUCAGACAAGAAGUUUUUCCCAACCACAUACAGUUUGAAAAACAGUAGCCAGGUUCAAUAAAACGUAAUUGAUUGAACUAAUCAUUGACAUAAAAGAAACAUACCCCUUCAUCACGUUGUUGCCUUAAUGACUUGAUAUUCUCAAAUGCUUUGUCCCUCUUCUCUGUCACAGCUGUCAGAUCAUCCUGUA